This 453-nucleotide ribosomal RNA is filed under the name uncultured bacterium. RNAcentral describes it as "bacterial SSU rRNA". It matches the Rfam family "Bacterial small subunit ribosomal RNA", at positions 29 to 524 of the family's 1533-position model. The record is from RNAcentral.
AGCGAACGCUGGCGGCAUGCUUAACACAUGCAAGUCGCACGGGCAGGGCAACCUGUCAGUGGCGGACGGGUGAGUAACGCGUAGGUAUCUAUCCUUGGGUGGGGGACAACGGUUGGAAACGACUGCUAAUACCGCAUGAUAACUGAGGUUUAAAGGCGCAAGUCGCCUGAGGAGGAGCCUGCGUACGAUUAGCUAGUUGGUGGGGUAAAGGCCUACCAAGGCUGCGACGUUAGCUGGUCUGAGAGGAUGAUCAGCCACAUUGGGACUGAGACACGGCCCAAACUCCUACGGGAGGCAGCAGUGGGGAAUAUUGGACAAUGGGCGAAAGCCUGAUCCAGCAAUGCCGCGUGUGUGAAGAAGGUCUUCGGAUUGUAAAGCACUUUCGACGGGGACGAUGAUGACGGUACCCGUAGAAGAAGCCCCGGCUAACUUCGUGCCAGCAGCCGCCGUAAC